GAUAGUCUAGUUUAAGUAAGAACAUCUGUUUGUCAGGCAGAAAGCCCACUUGGUGUGGGAUUAUCU
RNAcentral lists this transfer RNA (66 nucleotides) under Tridacna squamosa. Its description in RNAcentral is "tRNA-Asp". Lineage: Eukaryota; Metazoa; Mollusca; Bivalvia; Cardiida; Cardiidae. RNAcentral also lists the same sequence under 1 other name. The record is from RNAcentral.